GCCAACGUUCAUAUCACGUUGAAUACACCAGUUCUCGUCCGAUCACUGAAGUUGAGCGUGGAUAGUACUUGGAUGGGUGACCGCUUGGGAACACCACGUAACGUUGGCU
Molecule: ribosomal RNA, 109 nt
Filed under: Diaphorina citri (Asian citrus psyllid)
Lineage: Eukaryota; Metazoa; Arthropoda; Insecta; Hemiptera; Psyllidae
Source: RNAcentral